AUUCGGAGGGGGCUAGCGUUGUUCGGAAUUACUGGGCGUAAAGCGCGCGUAGGCGGCUUUUCGUGUUGGGCGUGAAAGCCCGGGGCUCAACCCCGGAAUUGCGCUCAAAACUGGAAGGCUAGAGACCGGGAGAGGAGAGUGGAAUUCCCAGUGUAGAGGUGAAAUUCGUAGAUAUUGGGAAGAACACCAGUGGCGAAGGCGGCUCUCUGGUCCGGUACUGACGCUGAGGUGCGAAAGCGUGGGGAGCAAACAGGAUUAGAUACCCCAGUAGUCC
Molecule: ribosomal RNA, 274 nt
Filed under: uncultured bacterium
Lineage: Bacteria
Description: partial 16S ribosomal RNA
Rfam family: Bacterial small subunit ribosomal RNA
Source: RNAcentral